Molecule: transfer RNA, 72 nt
Filed under: Sphaerodactylus townsendi
Lineage: Eukaryota; Metazoa; Chordata; Lepidosauria; Squamata; Sphaerodactylidae
Description: tRNA-Ala
Source: RNAcentral
GGAGCUGUGGCUUGGGGGUAGAACAUCUGCUCGGCGUGCAGAAGGUCCCAGAUUCAAUCCCCAGCAUCUCCA